GGCCAGACUCCUACGGGAGGCAGCAGUGGGGAAUAUUGCACAAUGGGGGAAACCCUGAUGCAGCGACGCCGCGUGAAGGAAGAAGUAUUUCGGUAUGUAAACUUCUAUCAGCAGGGAAGAAAAUGACGGUACCUGACUAAGAAGCCCCGGCUAACUACGUGCCAGCAGCCGCGGUAAUACGUAGGGGGCAAGCGUUAUCCGGAUUUACUGGGUGUAAAGGGAGCGUAGGCGGUUUAGCAAGUCAGAAGUGAAAGCCCGGGGCUCAACUCCGGGACUGCUCUGGAAACUGCGUCGCUGGAGUACGGGAGGGGCAGGCGGAAUUCCUGGUGUAGCGGUGAAAUGCGUAGAUAUCAGGGGGAACACCGGCGGCGAAGGCGGCCUGCUGGACCGUGACUGACGUUGAGGCUCGAGAGCGUGGGGAGCAAACAGGAUUAGAUACCCCAGUAU
Molecule: ribosomal RNA, 447 nt
Filed under: uncultured bacterium
Lineage: Bacteria
Description: bacterial SSU rRNA
Rfam family: Bacterial small subunit ribosomal RNA
Source: RNAcentral